RNAcentral lists this ribosomal RNA (334 nucleotides) under uncultured eukaryote. RNAcentral's name for it is "partial 18S ribosomal RNA". It matches the Rfam family "Eukaryotic small subunit ribosomal RNA", at positions 1470 to 1796 of the family's 1831-position model. The record is from RNAcentral.
CCCUUAGAUGUUCGGGGCCGCACGCGCGCUACACUGAAGGACUCAGCGUGUCUCUCCCCCUAUCCCGAAAGGGAUGGGCAACCCGUUGAACCUCCUUCGUGCUAGGGAUUGGGGUUUGCAAUUAUCCCCCAUGAACGAGGAAUUCCCAGUAAGCGCGAGUCAUCAGCUCGCGUUGAUUACGUCCCUGCCCUUUGUACACACCGCCCGUCGCUACUACCGAUCGGAUUGUCCUGUGAAUUUCUAGGAGAGUUGAGGUCCUGGCGCUUCGGUGUCGGCGACCUCAUGCUUGAAUUGAAUUGAACUGGACUCUCUAGAGGAAGUAAAAGUCGUAACA